This 405-nucleotide ribosomal RNA is filed under the name uncultured bacterium. RNAcentral's name for it is "bacterial SSU rRNA". It matches the Rfam family "Bacterial small subunit ribosomal RNA", at positions 355 to 752 of the family's 1533-position model. The record is from RNAcentral.
UGGGGAAUUUUGGACAAUGGGGGCAACCCUGAUCCAGCCAUGCCGCGUGCAGGAAGAAGGCCUUCGGGUUGUAAACUGCUUUCGGCCGGGACGAAAUUGCCUCUCCGAACAGGAGGGGUAGAUGACGGUACCGGAAGAAGAAGCACCGGCUAACUACGUGCCAGCAGCCGCGGUAAUACGUAGGGUGCGAGCGUUAAUCGGAAUUACUGGGCGUAAAGCGUGCGCAGGCGGAUGCUUAAGCCAGACGUGAAAUCCCUGGGCUUAACCUAGGAAUGGCGUUUGGAACUGGGCAUCUAGAGUGCGGCAGAGGGAGGUGGAAUUCCUGGUGUAGCAGUGAAAUGCGUAGAGAUCAGGAGGAACACCGAUGGCGAAGGCAGCCUCCUGGGCUGACACUGACGCUCAUGC